RNAcentral lists this long non-coding RNA (2067 nucleotides) under Equus caballus (horse). Its description in RNAcentral is "lncRNA (ENSECAG00000055989.1)". The record is from RNAcentral. Lineage: Eukaryota; Metazoa; Chordata; Mammalia; Perissodactyla; Equidae.
GCUGAAACAACUGUCUUCAGCUGAAAGCUGUGCCUGGUGAGGGACUCAGCUGGAAUCCAUCGGCCACCAACUCUCCCAGCAGCUGGGGAAAUGAGUGCCUUGGUCUGAAAGGGGAUCUGGAUAGCAUACCACAGCAUGGCUACAAUGUGCUGGGCAUUGCUUUGGUGUUGAGAUACAGCAGUGAACGUAGCAGACAAAAUCCCAUGUUCUUUUCUACGAUUUAAAUGGUGUGCUCAAGGAAGGCAUCACUGUGCAGCUGGCGUUGAACAAAGACUUGGAGGAAGAGAGGAAACAAGCUAUGCAGAUAUUUGGGGCAAAUGUUUUCCAAGCAGCAGCAACAUCAAUGUAAAGAGAUACAGACUCUCUUACUGCCAAUUCACUUUAUUCCCGGGGCCUCGUCUCACCUGUCUCAAAAGUGAACUUCGUAUUUGGUUGUCGGGAUUCAGAAACACAUUCUGGAUAAGGAUGGAGCAUCACAGGACGGCUUGUGUCGGAGGAAGGUGGAGUAACUGAUACGUGGGUACAGAGCCUGUAACAAGGGCAUUUCUUCACAAGACCCUGAGCAGAAGCGUGGAAGGGACCUCAUACUGAGCUGAUCUGGAAUCAGAAGCUGUUAGCGGGGGUAACCACAGCUGCCCUUGAUUUCCGCAUCACAGGAUUGGAAUAAUAACGCCUGUCCUAUCCACAAGUGUGGGGAGGACCUCACUCUCCCCCCCACAGCAGACUCACAGGUGCAGUGCCUCUAGACUCCUCGAGUCACCUGAGUGCAAGGCCAUGGCUCAGCAGAGCCCCACAGGCAAGGGCAUUGACCUCCCCAUCAGAGACCUGGCCUUGGAGGUGACCAGGCGCAGAUUCACCCUGACCACGAGGUACCCAAGCUCUCCUCUGGCUCCCUGGCGGGGUUGGGAUGGAGCAUGAACACCGAUCCCCACCAAGCACCUGACACUGCAGCAGACACUGGUUUACAAAUGUAAAGGCAGAUUUUAUGGAUGAGAAAGCACUUUGUCACCCACUGUGGGAAACAGGCCCUUCUCAUGUGGUCCUUCAACAGGCAGUGAUGAGGGGGCUGCGAUGAGCUCAGUGGCUCCUACCUGGGGCUGGGGAUCACUUGAUAACUGGAUGGAAGUUCUGAUGUACCCUCCCAGCAUAGCAGUGCAUGACCUUGCAAGCUUUGGGGACAGCAUGGACUCCCUGAAGCUCGUCCUCAGCCCCAACUAGGCUGAGAGCUCCCCGCAGGCAGGCACUGUUUCUCUCCUUCUCCACUGCAUGCCUGGUGACCAGGACUGUUCCAGCAGGAUCUUAGGAAGAAGAGACCUUAGCAGCUUGUGUGGCCCGAGGAGAGGGUUUGCCUGUCACAGAGCAGGAAGCUGCCUGGGCUGCAUGUGGGACUUCCAAAACUCCCCCACUGCCUGACACCUUCCCCUGAUGGAAGGGUCAGCUGACAAAAUACAAGACGCCUAGUUAAAUCUGAAUUUUAGAAAAACAAAGUUUUUUUGGCCUGUGUGUCUGUGCAAUUUGUGAUAUACUUGUAGUAAAAAUUAGUUGUUUAUCUAAAAUUCAAAUUUAACAGGGCAUUCUGUAUUUUCAUUUGCUAAAUCUGGCGAGCCUACGAUGGCCACUGUGGGAUGCCUGUCCUCUCUCUGGUCUGAAAUCCCCACAUGCAGUUGGGUUCCCAAGACAUCCCAUAUAUAACGGUGUAUAAAGAAAACAGUAGGAUUCCAGUUUAUAUUAAAACUGACCUCUGUUGAAACUGAUGUCUGGCUAGAUGCACCUCUUCUGUUCUGUGUCAGGAGGUCCUGUGGAGACGGAGACCUUCCUGGUGGGAGGGCGGGCGCUACAGACCAGAGGAAGGGAGUGGGGCUUCGUCACUCGCUUGCAGCGAAUGCCAACACGUUGCAGUCUCCUCGUGUUGGUUAAGUGGAUUUACAAGUUAUGUUUUCUAAUCUUAACGAGUGUAACCCUCAAAAGAGACCAGUGGCCUAAAAAUUUCUGCCAGGAAACCUGGGUUGAAAUAAUUCUAAUAAUGCAAAUAUGAGUAAAUAACAAAUAGCGGCAGAGCUGACACUU